Molecule: ribosomal RNA, 501 nt
Filed under: Actinomyces sp. oral taxon 170
Lineage: Bacteria; Bacillati; Actinomycetota; Actinomycetes; Actinomycetales; Actinomycetaceae
Description: bacterial SSU rRNA
Rfam family: Bacterial small subunit ribosomal RNA
Source: RNAcentral
GACGAACGCUGGCGGCGUGCUUAACACAUGCAAGUCGAACGGUGAAGCGCCUUCCUUUGUGGUGGGUGUGGAUGAGUGGCGAACGGGUGAGUAACACGUGAGUAACCUGCCCCCUUCUUCUGGAUAACCGCAUGAAAGUGUGGCUAAUACGGGAUAUUCUGUGCCUGCUGCAUGGUGGGUGUGGGAAAGAUUGCGCCUUUGGGUGUUUUUGGUGGGGGAUGGGCUCGCGGCCUAUCAGCUUGUUGGUGGGGUGAUGGCCUACCAAGGCGGUGACGGGUAGCCGGCCUGAGAGGGUGGACGGUCACACUGGGACUGAGACACGGCCCAGACUCCUACGGGAGGCAGCAGUGGGGAAUAUUGCACAAUGGGCGCAAGCCUGAUGCAGCGACGCCGCGUGAGGGAUGGAGGCCUUCGGGUUGUGAACCUCUUUCGCCAGUGAAGCAGGCCUGUCCCUGUGUGGGUGGGUUGACGGUAGCUGGAUAAGAAGCGCCGGCUAACUAC